This 72-nucleotide transfer RNA is filed under the name Phrynosoma platyrhinos (Desert horned lizard). Its description in RNAcentral is "tRNA-OTHER". It matches the Rfam family "tRNA". Rfam says of the family: Transfer RNA (tRNA) molecules are approximately 80 nucleotides in length. Their secondary structure includes four short double-helical elements and three loops (D, anti-codon, and T loops). Lineage: Eukaryota; Metazoa; Chordata; Lepidosauria; Squamata; Phrynosomatidae. The record is from RNAcentral.
GCCAAUGUGAUGCAGUGGUUUGAGUGUUGGACUAUGAUUCUGGAGACCAGGGUUUGAAUCCCUGCUCAGGCA